This is a long non-coding RNA of Lolium rigidum, 3396 nucleotides long. RefSeq lists it as uncharacterized. The record is from RefSeq and is a predicted model, not a curated record. The transcript is spliced from 6 exons. NCBI's taxonomy places the organism in Eukaryota, Viridiplantae, Streptophyta, Magnoliopsida, Poales, Poaceae.
AAUGGCCAGGUUCCUUCAAAAAAGAAUAGGGAGAAGAAAUGGCUAGGUCUUGUGCUCUAGCGACACACCGACGUCUCUUGUGUGGCCUGGCUUAUCUGGAUGGGUCUCUCUUGACUAUACACGCUAGGUGUUCAUGCAAAUGCCUCGCGGCUGCGAGUGUUAGUGAACGGCUCCAGCAGGCUAUGGAGGAUGAUGACAAUGGAUGUGGAUUUGCCUCCCCCAAUGGUACGCUUGGUAUCUUGACCUGUGCUGGGCUAUGGCUAGGAGGCCGUUGACUUAUCUCCCCUCCCCGCGCCAAUGCCAUCGGGGGCGACUAGGAGUACAUGCGGUCUCGCUGUUCCUGACGCUGGUGGGAGCCUCUGCAUCUCGGUGCAUGCUGAAGAGGAGUCACAUCUGGACCAAAACACUCAAGCCCCAAAUCGGCUUCAACGAGCCACAGCUAAUCUUCUGGAGAUGGAUGAGUGAUGAACUUUCGUCGGUAGCUGAUUUGGAUAUCAAGUCCACUUGAAACUUGUAGAGGUGGUCUUCUUCCCCGCGGUGGUGCUGAUGCAGUACGGGCUCAGCUCACUGUGCUUGUCACUUGUGAUAGCCUCUGCUGCUCGGUGAACGCUCAAGAAGAGUCCCAUAUGGACAAGGACACUCAAGCACCUCACCGUCUUCAACGAGCUAUAGUUAAUGUAGCCUGCCACGGUCCUCGUCAUCUAGAACAUAGCUGACCCUCAUAGCAAGGCUAAGGUCCUCGGCUUCGACUAUUUGUCGCUUCAUAUCUACCCUUGCAUGCAGCGGCAAGUUUGCAACGCCGCAACCGUGGCAGCGUGGCCAAUUCGUCUUCUCAAUGGUCUAAGUGCCCUUCUCCUUCUUCCCUUCUCUCCUCUGCAUCCUUGUAAAGAGCUAUGCAUAUGAUUAUGCAAAAGCUGAACUUUAAUAUGUGCAUUCUAAUUUUUUGCCUGCUUUUGGGUCAUUAAUUAACUAAUUUCGAAUUAUACAUUUGAAUGGUCUGUUGCAAAAUAUGCUUGUAUCAAGUGGACCUAAUGCAUCAUAGUAUUUUGUGAUUUGCCAUUCAUACAAGAGUAGUAGUUCACUUAUUACCCACUUCUUUUUUGCUUGGUAAGUAUUGUUGCCGCUUCUAUAUCACUGUUCAUUCGUCACUGGAUUGUAGGUUUAAUUUAAAAUUAUAAAAAAUGACUUGUAUGUAUAUUUAACUAUAAAGAUGUCGCAAGUUGUUGCGAUGAAGACAAACAAGCUCCCUCUUCUAGAAGUGCCGAGGACAUCUCUUGCAGAAUCGGACCUCAUUAUUGUGAUUAAAUUCCCUCCUCAGAGCUUUUGUGAUGGUGAUAAAUUUAAGGCUUAUUUCUCAAUUGCCUCCUAAGAGCUUUGGUCUUGCGAGUCUUGAGAGCUAAUGCUGCUACUUCCUUCCUUGGAUGUCUGAGCCUUUUUUUAAUUUCACUGUCUGUUUUUAAAUCAAAUUUAGCAGUCUUCGUAGUAUUUUUCAUUUGGCUCUUGCAUUGCAAAUGAUGAUGAAAUCAAGUCUUGUUUCUCAAAACAUUUGCAGUUGCCACCUAAGAGCUUUCGCCCUGUCAGACUUCAUAGCUGAUGCAGCUAGAUCCUUCCUUGGAUGUCUGAUGCAAUUCAUGUUUGUUGAGUGUUGAAAAACUUCUAAUCACACCAUGUUUUGGGACUCAUUAGUUGCUAUGCUGUUAUUAUGCAAUUCUAAAGACAAAUUGGAUAUCUUUUUGGUUUUCUUAAAAAAAUUGUCUAUCACUAUUGAUUUUUUAUUUUUGUGUCUUGUGGUUGGUUAGCAUGUGUUUAUGUGAAUAGACCUGUGAUGAUAAUCUAUAAGAGAAAUUACCAUCUUUCCGGAGCUUGCGUUCUUUAUCAUGACCAAGGUCACCAAUGCGCAAUUUAGCUCCAGCUUGAGGGUACUUAUAGUCGUGCUAUUGUUGCAUCGUCUUUGAUAUUUGAAUUGAAGAUCCAAGCAGGUUAGACUGAACUCACUUUUGGAUUGUAAUACAAUCGUUUGGAAAAGUAUGUGUGAACUACUUUGUAUGAAGAUCCUGCUAUUUGAACGUGUUGCGAGAAAAAAAUAUGGUCUUUGAUGUUAUUUCUGUAAUUUUUCUUGGGUGAUUAUAGGCAGUGAAUAGUAAUAUGCUUUCGAAUAUUGGUUUCAGGUUUGCACCCUCACAGUUGCAUAAGCCAAUGCUCAUUUAGGAUAUUUUCCACCUAAUCAGAAACACUUGGCAAUUUUGUAGUUACUACUAUGAUAUACCACAAUCUCUUAAGUAUAUAUAUUGCUAUAAAGGAACAUAAAUAUGUUAGCCACGCAUACUUUCAUUUAUUAUUAUUUAAUAUUAAUAGUUUGAUCCAUUGAUAGGGCUCCACAUUAUUCAAAGAAUAACCAAUAGGUAAGUGUCCAUGCUUUUUCAUAGGUUAACUCAAUUUUCUAGAAUAAGCAAUUGGUAAGAAUCUCGAUUUUCUAGCUAUCAAAUCUUUAUCUUUGCCUUGUCAUAUAUUUAUGCUCCCUGCGCCAAUACCGUCGGGAGCGACAAGGAGGUAAAUAAUUUUGAACUGAACCUGAUUGUUCCCCUCUUUCUGUUUUGCUUCACAUCAAAUGGAGUUGCUUCGUGCUGAACUUAUCCUUGUUAAUUGCAAAUGCGUCUGUUCUUUUUGUGCUAAUCCAUUUGUGGUUAGCAGCUCGGCAGGUACAUGUUUGCUUUUGGGGACUCUCCGCUUAACUCUAUUUUCUAGCUGUCAAAUUUGUGUCUUUGCCUUGUCAUAUAUUUAUGCUCUCUAGUACUGUGAACCAUUUGUCUUGUGUAUGCCAGUAUGCUACUCAUUUAUGCAGUGUCCCCUGCAGUUUUUGUCAGCUCUAAUUACGAAUCUAAUGCACCAAUAUUCAUCUCCAAAACAUCUUAUCAUACGUUACCUUACGUCCCCAGGAACAGGUUUUCUUUAUGUGGAUGAUAUCACCAACAGUACAUGCUGCAAGAGUUUGUGCCACUUUACGUGUGACUGCCUGGUGCUGUUUUCCGGAUGCAUUUCAAGCCCAAUGUACAUGCCUUGGAUAUUAUGUAUGCAAGAGAUUCUGAUAAAGUUGAGAAGGAAGAGACAAAUGGUGGGACAUGCUGCCGUGUCCGUUGGUGCGCGUGGCUAGCUUGGCAAUGAAGUGCAGCUACAAGCCGCCGGGUGGCUGGAGGCAGCGGGUGAUUGCAGUGUCGUCUAUCACCUACUAUUCGCUGCCUUUGCCACCCUAGCAACAUGUGCGUCCUUGGCGACAUCUUGGACAUUGGAGCAAGAAAUUCAACUAAGAUAGCAGCAUUCUAGGAUAAUAAUGGAAUGAGCCUGAGUUACCAUUGCAUGAUCAGCAUGCGAGCUGGUGUGGAGAGAUGCACAGAGUGG